Molecule: non-coding RNA, 27 nt
Filed under: Mus musculus (house mouse)
Lineage: Eukaryota; Metazoa; Chordata; Mammalia; Rodentia; Muridae
Source: RNAcentral
UGAAUGAGGGAGCAGUAAGGACCCAGC